RNAcentral lists this non-coding RNA (21 nucleotides) under Caenorhabditis elegans. Lineage: Eukaryota; Metazoa; Nematoda; Chromadorea; Rhabditida; Rhabditidae. The record is from RNAcentral.
UGGGCUUCUUGAAAACUGUAC